RNAcentral lists this ribosomal RNA (253 nucleotides) under uncultured bacterium. RNAcentral describes it as "partial 16S ribosomal RNA". It matches the Rfam family "Bacterial small subunit ribosomal RNA", at positions 524 to 776 of the family's 1533-position model. The record is from RNAcentral.
GACGAAGGAUGCAAGCGUUAUCCGGAUUUAUUGGGUUUAAAGGGCGCGUAGGUGGCCUUAUAAGUCAGCGGUGAAAGACUAGAGCUUAACUCUGGAAUUGCCAUUGAUACUGUAGGGCUUGAGUAUAGUUGCUGCGGGCGGAAUAUGACAUGUAGUGGUGAAAUACUUAGAGAUGUCAUAGAACACCUAUUGCGAAGGCAGCUCACAAAACUAUAACUGACACUGAGGCUCGAAAGUGCGGGGAUCAAACAGG